UGUCUGGCGGCAAAAGCGCGGUGGUCCCACCUGACCCCAUGCCGAACUCAGAAGUGAAACGCCGUAGCGCCGAUGGUAGUGUGGGGUUUCCCCAUGCGAGAGUAGGGAACUGCCAGACAU
This 120-nucleotide ribosomal RNA is filed under the name Dickeya dadantii 3937. The record is from RNAcentral. Lineage: Bacteria; Pseudomonadati; Pseudomonadota; Gammaproteobacteria; Enterobacterales; Pectobacteriaceae. RNAcentral also lists the same sequence under 1 other name.